Triticum aestivum (bread wheat) is the source of this 124-nucleotide non-coding RNA. NCBI's taxonomy places the organism in Eukaryota, Viridiplantae, Streptophyta, Magnoliopsida, Poales, Poaceae. The record is from Rfam.
GUGGUAAGAGGUACUCUGGUAGCCAGGGUGACUUGCCCAUGAAACCGCCGGACGCCGCUCUCUCGGCUGCCAGGCGAGUUUCACAGGCAAAUCAUCCUUGGCUAUCAAAGAUGGCCUCUUACGC